RNAcentral lists this long non-coding RNA (947 nucleotides) under Micromonas commoda. Its description in RNAcentral is "long non-coding RNA (MCOM_LNC000216)". Lineage: Eukaryota; Viridiplantae; Chlorophyta; Mamiellophyceae; Mamiellales; Mamiellaceae. The record is from RNAcentral.
AUAUUGCAACAUGAAUUACCAGCUGAGAACCGUCUCCGGGAGGUUGACCGUCGAAGCGGUCGCUCCCAAGGGAAAAUCCAUCUUGCGAGUUGGCCGGCAGCUCUUCGUCACUCUUAGUGUGCUGUUCCCAGUGUGACCCUUUGUCCAGGUCAAGGGCUGUACGCACGGGAUGGUCGACAUGCAACGCAUGGACGGUCACGCUCGCCUCGGUGUCAAGCGGUCUGCAGGUGCGUGAAGUAACGCGAGCAGAUAACGUUAAGUCUUGUAGAAAGGUCUAUCUACUACCUUCGUACGAAGGUCUUAGCUUGUCUGCUUGUUUGGCUCUGAUAGGAUCUGAGUCUUCUCUGUCAACUUCCCUCAACGCAGGUCAAACUUCGCUAUGAGCGUCGCCAAGAUCCUCGCUGCAUCUUUCAUAUCAUUCAACGAGCAGUACUCAUUGUCUGCGUGGUAGGUGGACAUGAGUCCGAAACCGAUGAGUUGAAUAUCGAAACCCUCAGACUGCAUAUCAUGCACCAGGGGAAGUGAGCCGGUAAGAGAGUACGGCUCAGCCAUCCCCUUCACGUCUUUUAUCGAGUCACACAUCAACUUGAAAGCGGGAGACGUGAGAUCGCAUGCGAUCCCAGUCAAUAAAUGAUCACCCCAUUCUAAUUUUAGAUGCCCCACGAUGGGCUCACCGUCCUCAGGCCUGAUGACGUACUUGGAGCACGGUCCACGUACGGGAAGAGAUUCGAUAUCAGCGUUGAUGGCUGCAACCUCCGCCUCGAUGCACGCCUUUAGUGCUGCGACGUCAUAGAAGGGAGUUAAGCGUAUGUCUCCGCUAAUCGUCGCCUCAGGAGGAAUCUGAUUUAAUCCUCCAGGGGCGCACUUUACUUGAGUCGGCUUCAUAGUUGAGGGCGUAAUGAACUUGUAUUCCCGCUCCUUCUCGCAAGCUGGGAAGGAUUCGUAGA